CAGUCGCCGCGGUAAAACGUAGGUGGCUAGCGUUGUCCGGAAUUAUUGGGCGUAAAGGGCUCGCAGGCGGUUUCAUAAGUCUGAUGUGAAAGCCCCCGGCUCAACCGGGGAGGGUCAUUGGAAACUGGGGAACUUGAGUGCAGAAGAGGAGAGUGGAAUUCCACGUGUAGCGGUGAAAUGCGUAGAGAUGUGGAGGAACACCAGUGGCGAAGGCGACUCUCAGGUCUGUAACUGACGCUGAGGAGCGAAAGCGUGGGGAGCGAACAGGAUUAGAUACCCCGGUAGUCCCUGUCUCUUAUAC
This 301-nucleotide ribosomal RNA is filed under the name uncultured bacterium. RNAcentral's name for it is "partial 16S ribosomal RNA". It matches the Rfam family "Bacterial small subunit ribosomal RNA", at positions 509 to 807 of the family's 1533-position model. The record is from RNAcentral.